This 495-nucleotide ribosomal RNA is filed under the name uncultured bacterium. RNAcentral's name for it is "partial 16S ribosomal RNA". It matches the Rfam family "Bacterial small subunit ribosomal RNA", at positions 30 to 507 of the family's 1533-position model. The record is from RNAcentral.
UGAACGCUGGCGGCGUGCCUAAUACAUGCAAGUCGAGCGACCGGACGAGAAGCUUGCUUUUCUGAUGUUAGCGGCGGACGGGUGAGUAACACGUGGAUAACCUACCUAUAAGACUGGGAUAACUUCGGGAAACCGGAGCUAAUACCGGAUAAUAUUUUGAACCGCAUGGUUCAAAAGUGAAAGACGGUCUUGCUGUCACUUAUAGAUGGAUCCGCGCUGCAUUAGCUAGUUGGUAAGGUAACGGCUUACCAAGGCAACGAUGCAUAGCCGACCUGAGAGGGUGAUCGGCCACACUGGAACUGAGACACGGUCCAGACUCCUACGGGAGGCAGCAGUAGGGAAUCUUCCGCAAUGGGCGAAAGCCUGACGGAGCAACGCCGCGUGAGUGAUGAAGGUCUUCGGAUCGUAAAACUCUGUUAUUAGGGAAGAACAUAUGUGUAAGUAACUGUGCACAUCUUGACGGCACCUAAUCAGAAAGCCACGGCUAACUACGUG